UCUCUCUCUCUCUCUCUCUCUCUCUCUCCGUAGGUUAUUAUUCAGAGAAAGAAAGGUUUACCCAUAUUUUGAGGAUGAAGAGAAAGAUUUGAACUUCGAUUUUGAGGUUGAAGAUAGUGGUGGGAGGUUGACGGUGGUGGGGAUGGGAGGUUGAUGAUCUGAACUCCGAUGUUAAGUCACCGAAACAAGAAAUUAACUUGAUAAAGCAAGUAUACGUGUAAGUAAGAUCCACGGAAAUCCAUUUGUUCUUCACAAUUAGUGUUACAACUCAAUUUCACAAUUAUUGUUACAACUCGAUUCAUGUUUCUAGGUUUUGAUUCGAUCGUGAAAUUCAUAUGUUCUUCAAGAUUUGAAGAAUUGACCUUCAUUUUUUGCGAUUAUUCAGAGAAAGAAAUGUUUACCCAUAUUAUGUUAAAAAAUGAUAACCUCCAUGGUAGGCAGUGCUUUUUGAAUCAAAAUCGUGAAAUCCACAAGUCACCAUCGCUGCAAACCCUACCUCUACAAAUCCGGAGAUAACCUCCAUGGCAGGCGGCGCUGCAAAGCCUAUAUCUCAACAAAACCCUGAAAACGAAAUGAAAUUUUAAGACAAGAUAUCGAUUUCUCAACAAAACUUUGUCUCCGUCUACCUCCACCUCGAUUCAGAAACAUUAAUUGCCAAAUAUACAACACUAUCAUCUUCUUGAAAUCUCCAACAGAUUUUUCUUUGAAUCGAUUUUUGAUCUAGAAGGCUUGACCUUUUGAAAUCGAGUUUUGAACUGAUUUCUAUUCUACGGGAUUCUAUGGAAGGAGAUGAAAUCUGAAUUGAGUUAUAGAGCAAAAUCGGAGGUCCAAGAACACGUAGAUCCAAAAUCGAAUGUCCAAAAAAAGGGAUUUUAGAAGAAAUCAAGAAAUUUGUUUGGAUAUAUAUGUUCUUGUGAAUUUCAAAAUUAGAUUCCAAGAAAUUUGUUGUUGUUGUGUUUGUUAUUUUUCUUUCCCUCUUCUUCCAUCUCAAUUGUUGUUGGUGGGUUUGUUUGAAAUUAUUAUUGAGACAACACUAACCGACAAACACAUACAUAUCUUUGAUUUGUUUUUUGAUUUUAGAUUGUUGUUGUUGGGUUUGUUUGAAAUGGUUAAUUAAGGAAAAUGGUUUAAAUAUAGAAGAAAUAUUAUGGAGAGAGAGAGAGAGAGAGAGAGAUCCCUUUUGUAUAUUAUUUUUUUCUCUUAAAUAAAUACAAACAUCAUAGAUGGUCUCUGUGGUCGUGAAAUGACGAAAAUACCCUUCAAUUAACGGACAAAACUUAACGGAAUUAUUAAUAAGGUCCAAUCGUCAAAAGUUUUGAAAGCACAUUGACUAUCUAACAUGUUUUUAAACCACGAGGACUAAACUUCAAAUUUGGGAAACCACAGGGACCAUUUAUGAUGUUUUUUUUUUAAAAAAAGCGUAAAGUUUCAAUUUUUUUUUUUGGUAAAAAAUGUAAAUUUGUAAAAAAAAAACUAAUUUUAAGGCAAAUUUAUUUAUAUAAAAAAACUUUUGACAAAAUUUGUAAUAAAGUUCAAAAAUAAAACGAAAAUUGUGAAAAUAAAAGUUGACUUGUAAGUUGUAACCAACCUGGUAUGGCACAUGAAAAAUAAUUUCGUUACUAUUUAACAGAAGAAAAUGCAUUUGUGGCCAUUUGAAAACAAUAGAGAUAGAUAGUUCGUUUUCCAAAAAACAAUGUUAACCAUCAACUCAAAAGGGUGAUCUAGAUCGGGUUUUACCCUGUUCAAGUUUCAGAAAAGUUUACGAUUGAUUGCACCUAAAGGCCAUGAAAUAAGUUGGAGAAACUUUAGAUUGGGUUCCUUUUUAACACGUGAUAUAUACGAGUAUCAUAUGUUACCAUAAAGCAUCGACCUUAAAAAUUCAGAAGCAUAACUAUUAUAACUAAUAUUUUUUUCUAUUAAAUUAAUAGAUUAAGAAAUAGUUACAAUUGUUAUUUACUCUUUUGGAUUAGUUACCCAACUUCAGUCUUCAGCUUUGAUGAAAAAAUAUAACAAGAUCAUGUAGUACUUUGUUUUUGUUUUUCUUUUUUAAUUCAUGAGGAUUAUUAUUACAUUAUAGAAUUCAAAAUGAACAAAAAUGACAUGAAUUUUUUUAUGGGGGAUGAAUGGCACCUUUUUUUUUUUUUUUUUUUAUGGAGCCAUGAGGCCUUCAAUUGUAUAGAAAAGAGACUCCACCAAAUCGGUUUUAAACAAAAUAUUAUGCAAUGUGUUCAUCACAUCAUACUCCGGAUCAAGUUUCCUCUGCCAACUCUGCAUAAAAAUAUAAACUACAAAAUUCCAAACAUAUAUAUUUUAUUAUUAUUAUUAUUAUUAUUUAUAUUUCUUUUACUAUAUAAAAAUUACCUCCAAAACUAAAGUGGUGACAAUCACAGUGCAAACAUUCCCAUCAAUAUUAACUCUAUGCCUCCUAACUUGCUCAAGCAACUGUUGCAUACAUUGUGCAGGAUUUAACAACUCACCCUCCCCACAACUCCAUGACAUAAACGAUUUCUCAACAUCCUGUGUUGCAUCACAUUGUUACACGAAUGGUCCCUAUAGUUUGGGGUAAUUUGCACGUUUGGUCCCUAACUUAUUUUUUUAACUCGGAAGGUCCCUAAUGUUUGUUUUUGUUGCGCGCUUGGUCCCUGUCUUACCUAAAAAGAAAAUCAAAGGCAAAAUAGUAUUUUUAGGUAAGACAGGGACCAAGCGCGCAACAAAAACAAACAUUAAGGACCUUCCGAGUUAAAAAAAUAAGUUAGGGACCAAACGUGCAAAUUACCCCAAACCAUAGGGACCAUUCAUGUAAUUUACUCCAAAAUCUUUAAUACCUUAAUGAAAGCUGUGGGAUUCGGGCAGUUUUGAUGUUUUGAAAAUUUAAGUGUGUGUUCUGCAGCAGCACGUCCAUCUUGAAGAGCGACAGCUUUAAAAAACUCAAUCAGAUUUAAUCUAUCUUUUUUACAGAGUUCAGCAGUCAUACCAACAUCAAGGAAAAUUACAUGAGGCUUUGAUUUAAAAAGCCCUGUAUCUGUAACUUUUCCCUGAGUUACCCUUACUAGAAUAUUCCCUGGAUGCAUGUCUGCAUGGAUAAAGUUGUCCACCAAAAGCAUCUUCAGAAGAGCAUGAGUUCCAAUAUGAGCAAGCCCAGUUUUAAUUCCAACAUUUCCAUCAAGUGCAUCAACAUAAUGCAAUAUAUUUUCACCUUGUUCAAAAGUUUCCACUAAAAUAGCAGGAUGUACAAGUGGAUACAAAGGCCUAGGAAAUGACACGUCUUUCCAUCUUCUGAAAUUGUAAAUAAAUCGACUUAAAUGAGCAGCUUCUCUUGCAAGAUCAACUUGUGACAUCAUAAAAACAGCAAACUGUUGUAUGCUUUCUUCGAGUCUUAACCAUUUUAAAUUUGGGAGAAAAGAUGAAAUUUUUGCAAAUAAAUUUAAAAUUAUGAAAUCCCUUCUGAUUCUUUCACUAACUCCUGGAUGUCUAACUUUAACAGCAACAAGAAUGGGUUUGAUUUUUUGUCCAGGGUGGCGAAACUUUAAGGUUGCUCUAUGAACUUGUGCUAUGCUUCCGGAAGCUACCGGAUCUUCCUCAAAGUUUUCAAAUAUUUCAAAUAAUCGACGCCCGAAUGCUUUUUCAAUAGUGUUCUUUGUGUGUGCAUAGGUAUGAGCUGGAGCAUUUGUUUGAAGCUCUGUGAGUUUUAUGCAAAGAUCAUUAGGGAAAAGAUCGGGUCUUGAAGCAGCCCAUUGACCCCAUUUGAUGAACGCGGGUCCCGCUUUUUCUAAAGUGUGGUGGACGCAUUGUAGCCAUGUCAGACGAAAUUUAGGUCCAAAGGAAUCAGCAAAAGGAGCCAUGGCUAUGCAUGGUGUGAAGAGGAAAGAUAAGUAAAUUGCUCUAAGACAUAAGAGUAUGAGUUCUAUAAAAGAGAAGAUGAAUGAGGUUAAGUAAACAUGUCCAUCUUGUGUGAAAGUGAAAAGAUCAUUUUUGUAAAACCCUUCUGCUUCUGCUAAUGUUUUUCGUUUCCAUGUGAGUUCUCCUACUAAAAAGGCUAAUAUCCCAGGAGCAAUGAGUUGGGAUCUAGUUAAAGCAAAGCUUAUAGCACAUGUGAUUCUAUUCAUUGGUUGGAUUGGCACAUUGUAGGUAUAGAUUUGGGAAAACCUUUUCCAUGCCAUUUGAGCAUGGUGUGAGACUUUACUACUUGUUGAUAUGAAAUAGAAUCUUUGAAAAUUUCUACAACUCCAUAAACUUUUCUUUGAUUCAUAACAAGAAAGGCCUCUGUUGAGAGCCUUAUGUUGUGAAUAGAGUCUAUAGGAGUGGCGAAAGGCAACUGUUAAUUGGAGUGUAUGAUUAUUAGCUUUAAUUGGAAGAAGGGAAUUUGCUGCCCUUCUAAUGCUGGAAACUGCUAACAACCUGCAUCAUGUUAAUUAAGCACCUUUAUAUCAUGUCAAUUAUGUGAGAUUGUAUGAUCAAAAUGAUGAACAAAAGGUCAACAACUACAAUCCUGACUUCUAAUGUUCUUGAUUAAAAUCAUAGGAAUAUAAACUUAUAAUACCCAAUACGUGCUAAGAUUAUGCGCUUACACUACAACGCAGUCAAUCAAGAUGCCAAAACCAUCGAGACAUGCAUAUGAGUUCUGAUUGACAUGGUUCUUCAAUUAAUCGAUAGUAGUUGAAUAAUUAACAGAGAUUUUGCAUAGAAAACAUUGGGCGAACAAAUAUCAAUACAUCAAAAGAAUGGAAACGAUUACGAUGCUAAGUAAUAAGUUGAUUGCUAUGUACCUUGAGAAGGCCAUGUAAAUCAGAUGAAAAUCGGUGGAUAAUCUGUAGGCAAAAGAGGAUACAUGCCGGCAUUUUCACCAGCUGAAACAUCGAAUCAUCUUCUUUGUUGCUGUCGCCGUGGACGUCGCCGGCGGUCAAACAUGACGGUUUGAUGAUUUUGUUGUGUAGAAGCGAUUGAGAAACGGAGGUUGAUUGUGGAGGCGACGACUGCGGGUUCGUCGGAUUCGUACCACUGGUAAAACAAAAGGGUUGCGGAGAUGUGCCCGCUUGAUGAUAAUAAUUUUACACAAAUCUUCAUAAAUAGUCCUUAUGGUUUUCUAAAAUAUCAAUUUUAAUGACCAAUAAUUUUCAAUCUCAUUAAAGAUCCAUAUAGUUUUAAUUUCUAUCAUUUACAAAGUAGACUUCCCUAGUAAGAAAAACAAAUGAAAGUAAAACAUUAUAGGUAUUAUUGUAAUAUUUUUCAAAAUAGUGACCAUUUUAUUUUUACACAAGGACCAAAUCUAUAUUCAUUUACAACCAUAAGGAACAUUUUUUUAUAAGUUAUUUAUUUCUAUGCACAUGGAUCAUUUAUAUGAUAAUUUUCUAUCAUAUUAACCAAAAUUUUAUAAAUUGAUUAAAAAUUUAAAGUACUUCUUAAUUAGAAAAAAAAAAACGUUGAAAUUAAAAUUCUAUGGUAUGAAAUAUGAAAAUGAGUUGCCAUAUAAACAAACAAACGGAUAGGUUGUUUUUCUUUUAAUUAACAUUUUUUUACAAGAAGUGUAAUGUAAUAAUUAUUUUGCAACAAAUACCAUAAUGUUCUAAAAACCAGAAACAGGAACAAGAACUAUCGUAGAAUGUCUUUUGGAUGUUUUUUUUUGGUUUGUGUGUUUGUGACCGAAUAGUAAAGUAAAUCAUUGAGUAUUUAAUUUUCUUUUUAUUUGUAAAUUGUAAAAACGUACGUUGCUACACAUGAUAUUUUGUAACCAUGCUGUUUUUUGGAGCAAAGUAUGUAGAUAAGAGACUAGAUACAAUGCUAAAAUUUUUAAAAAAGAUACGCUAUUACACACCAUCAUGAAAGUAAGAUGCUAUAAAAGUGAAAAAAAAAUAGAAUUCUAAAAUAAUGCUAAAACAGUGAAAUUAAAAUCUUAUUAAUCAUCAUGAAAAUAGAAUGUUUAAACGAUGGCAUUUUUAAACCCAUUUGGCUAAUUAACAUGUAUACAUGAUUUGGUUAAUAUCAGUACAAUGUUAUAAGUAUUCGGAGAAUUCACGUGUACACAUCAUCAUCAAAGUAAAUUGCAUUCCACAGAGGAAAUGAUGUUACAAGGGUCGUCUUGAUUCAUCGAUCCAUUAAUUUUUUUUUUCCAUUCUGUCAGAUUUGAGUUAACUAAUUUGAUAGAUAACUUCAUAUAUUUUUUUUUUUCCAUUCUGUCAAUUUUGAGUUAACUAAUUUGAUAGAUAAUUUCAUAUUUUGUAUAUUUGGUUGGUUUUAGUACGUUUUGUAUUUCUCAUUGUAAAGUUUUUUUUUCUUUAAUUGUAUACUCUUAACCUUGCCUUUUAUAUUUGAUUUUUUUUCUUCAUAUUUUUAAGUUGGACUAGAUGUUAGUCAUGCCAUUGUUCCACCAUAUGAAAAAUCUCCACCUCAACUCCACAUAAGAUUGUGGUGUGACAUCCAUUUUGAAACCAUGGACAAAGAGUGAUGGAGUGAUGGAGAAGAAAGGAAGAAGAGAGAGAGAUAGAGGAGACGGUGAGAGAAGAUGGAGAAAGACUCGACUCUUUCUAGUCGAGAAGAGAUAAACCACACUCAGAAUCAGAAAACCAACACGGUGUUUGCCACAUCUUAAGUGACAAACUGCAUUCGAAACCACACCUACACCGUUCAGCCUGAAACAUAUUUUGAUAUGUUACAUAUGACUUUUGCAAAGUGGGAUGAUUUUGUCACUAUUUUCUAUACAAAUCAAAUUUUUGGAAUUCUAUCAUCAAACAUCUAUUGUUCAUCCACAUUUCAAAUCACUAUACCAUGUAAUGCAUCCUCAGUUGUAUAGACAAUGAAAUUAUAUAAACAAUGAACGAUAAUUAAUUUAAUGAUCAACCCAUUCAUCAAAAGUACAAUACAUUAGUUACAAUUUGUUUUAUAUACAUAAUAAAAAAUAAACAUCUUUACUAGUGUCUUAUUUGAAAAUUAACUCACAUGAGAAUAUAAACAUAUACAACACAAUAGAGAAUCCAUGGAUCACUUAAUCAACUUUAAUUCCAAGGCUAAGUGGGAGCAACCCACAAGACAUGAAAGCUGCAUUUUUCAUUUUGUCAUUUCGUCGAACACAUGAUGCGCAUCUCCCUCUCCCUCCAUUUAUACCCCAUUCACUCAAUUCCCAAACCAAAACAGUCACACUAACACGAUCGGAUUCUAUCGACGGAAUCACACACGAGGGAGGAUGAUUAGUGAUGCAGUAAGGAAAUCUUGGGUGGUGGCCGCUACCAUCGGUUCGGUUGAGGCAUUGAAAGAUCAAGGUGUUGCACGGUGGAACAGACCUCUUACGAAAAUUUCUUAUUGUUUGUCGGCGGUGAUUACAACUAGUAAAUUCAGAGUGAAGAGAGGAAAAGAGGAAUCAAUGAAGAAAGCCAUGGAUAUGAGUUGCUUUGGUCCAAAUACUGUUAGAUUUUAGAAGCAUGCUCUGUAUUAUUUCCAUGGAUGUCGAUCCACAAGAUAAACAACACUAACACUAAUCCUGUAAGUGUUCAUAAGUUGUCUCCAUCCAUCAUCAAUACAUGAAUUUUGAAUCGAAUCGCGACACAAAUUCUUGCCGAAUUAACUUUUCUACUUCAAAAUCAAACAUACCAGUUGAUCUGUUGCAUCAACAGAUCAAACUAUUGAUCAUUUCAAAUGAAGUUUUGAAAUCUGAUUAUUGAUACGAAGAUUAAUCCACAUCCACAUAUUAUAUUCAUAUAUUAUCUUUACAUUGGGAGAACAAACAUCAAUACAUCAAAAGAAAAGGAACGAUUACGAUGCUAAGUAAUAAGUUGAUUGCCACGUACCUUGAGAAAGCCAUGUAAAUCAAAUGAAAAUCGGUGGAUAAUCUGUAGGUCGUGGCCGUCGCCGGGGUCAAAUAUGACGGUCGUCGCCGGCGGUCAAACAUGACGGACCGAUGAUUUUGUUGGUUAGAAGCGAUUGAGAAACGGAGGUUGAUUAUGGAGGCGACGACUGUGUGUGCCACUAGUAAAACAAAAAAGGGUUGCAGUUAAUAAUUUUACACAAAUCUUUCAUAAAUUGUCCUUAUCGUUUUCUAAAAUAUCAAUUUUAAUGCCCAAUUUUUUUCGAUCUCAUUAAAGAUGAUUAUGGUUUUAAUUUAUAUCAUGUUAGAUUUUUAAAGUAGACUAACAAAUGAAAGCAAAACAUUACAGGUAACAUUUUACAUUUAUAUAAUAUUUUCCUAAAUAGGACCAUUUUAGUAAUCUUUUCUUACAAAGGACCAAAUCUAUAAUCAUUUACAGCCAUUGGAAUCAUUUUUUAUUUUAUAAGCUAUUUCUACACAUGCAAUAUUUCUAUAGUCUUUCGUGACAUGGACCAUUUAUAUAAUAUUUUUCUACUAUAUGAACCAACAUUUUAUAAAUUCAUUAAAAUUUCAAACUACUUCUUAAUUAGAAAAAAAACUUUGAAAUUAAAAUUCUAUGAAAUAUAAAAUGAGUUGCCAUAUAAAGAAACAGAGGAAGAUAGGCUGCUUUUCUUUUACUUAACAUUUUUUUUUACUAAAAGGGUAAUAUAAUCAUUAUUUUACUAGAAGGACCAUAAUGUUCUAAAAACCGAAAACAAUAACAAGAACUAUAGUAUGAGAGUGUUUGGCUUAGCUUUUUAAAUGACUUUUGACUUUAUCUUUUAGAAAAAGUCCCAAAAGAUGUUUGGUAAAAGGAAAAUGACUUUUGUAAAUGACUUUUCCCAUAGAGUAAUUUUAGUCUUUUUGAAAAGUCACGAUUACCUGGUUUUUCCCAACUUUUCAUCAGCUAAAAAUAGUAAAUUACCAAUAUACCUCUCAUCUAUCUUAAACAUGUCUUUUUUUGUCAUUUUACAUGUAAAAGUUAAAUUAAACAUUUUAACUUUGGACUUUUUCCAUUCAAAAGCUAAUCCAAACACAUUUUAAAAAAUAACUUUUGUAAAAAGUUCUUUUACAAAAAGGACUUUUGCCCCACAAAAGUUAAGCCAAACAACCCCUAGAAUGUCUUUUGGGCGUUUUUUUGGUUUGUUUGUUUGUGACCGAGUAGUAAAGUAAAUUAUUGAGUUUUUAAUUUUUCUUUUUAUUUGUAAAAAAGUCUGUUGCUACACAUAUGAUAUUUUGUAACCAUGAUGUUUUUUUGGAGCAAAGCAUGCAGAUAAGAGACUAGAUCCAAAAUCAAAUGCUUCCAAAUAAUUUUAACUACAUUCCGGGUGAAUAAAAUUGUUAUUUCAUGUGAUGAUAUUUUCUCGAUAUUUCUCUAUUUUGAAAUUUUCAAUUGGUAGCAAUUAUGUGUUUAUUGUUUAUAAUAUAAAAAAAUUCAUGGUGAUAGGAACUGCUCAUAAGAUUCUAAAGACCGUACCAAAUGACAUGUUUUUCGUCUGAUUUAUGGUUUGGUGGUAUAUCAAAAAACUAAUGAAGAUGACUGUCAGAAUGGUAUGCCAAAAAUGAUGUAAAAAAGUUUUAAAAACACUGCUUGUAUAAAAAUCAAUGAAAAUGACAAAAUGAACGCACCUAUACACAUAAAUUUAAGGUACAAGUGUGUGUGUGUGUUUCUUUAGAAUGAAAUUAGAAUUCUAUAUCAAACCUAAUUUAAAAAAAAAAGUAUAUGUACACAUGAUUUGGAUAAUGCAAGUAUAAUGCUAAAACUUUUCACAAAGAUACACUAGUACACACCAUCAUGAAAGCAAGAUGCUAUAAAACUGAUGUAAAAUUAGAAUUCUAAAACAAUGCUAAAAUAUUGAAAUUAAAAUCUUAAUAAUCAUUAUGAAAAUAAGAUGCUUAAAAGAUGACGUUUUUUAAAAGCAUUUGGCUAAUUAACAUGUAUACAUGAUUUGGUUAAUAUUAGUAUAAUGUUACUUUUAUUUGGAGAAUUCACGUGUACACACCAUCAUCAAAGUAAAUUGCAUUCCACAGAUGAAAUGAUGUUACAAGGGUCGUCUCGAUUCACUGAUCCAUUGAAAAUUUAUCCAUUCUAUCAGCUUUUGAGUUAACUAAUUUGAUAGUAGAUAAUUUCAUAUUUUGUAUAUUUGGUUGGUUUUAGUAUGUUUGGUAUUUCUCAUUGUAAAGCUUUUUGUGUGUGUGUAUGUUUGCCUUUAACCUUUAAUUGUAUACUCUUAACCUCGCCUUUUAUAUUUGAUUUUUUUCAAGUUUUUAAGUUGGACCAGAUGUUAGGCGGGAGGUUGUCAUGCCAUGAUUCUACCAUAAGAAAGCUCUCCACCACAACUCCACAUAAGAUUGUGGUGUGACAUCCAUUUUAAAACCAUGGACAAUGAGUGGUGGAGAAGAAAUGUAACACCUGAUUCAAGGUACUUUUCAUUUUGACCCUUAGUAUGUAAAUAUUUUACAGUUUUGGUCUCUAGGGGGUAGUUUUGCCAAUUUCAUAAUUCUUGGAGUACGUGGGGCAUACACACCCAAGGGACAAACCCUAAAAUUUAGGGUUUGGACCCUAUAAACAACUUAAUGAACACGAACUCAUUUCCCAGCCUUCAUUUCCCUUUGAGUCCCAUUUCGAAACCCUAUCCCUUCUUUAAUAGAUUAGACCCUCUUGUGUGUGUUUGUGAGAUUAUAUGAAGAAGAGCUUAUAAGAAGGAGCCUUGAUCAAAGUAGAACUUGUAGAUCCAUAUUUCACACAUCAUUUCCAGCUUCAUUGAGGUAUAAAGCUUGGAACUUGCUCCUUGUAUGUUUAGAUCUAGUCUUUAUAAAGUUUUGAUCCCUUUUUAGUCCUAUGAUGAGAUCUAGUGGGUUUCUUCCACUCUAGAAGUUAGGAGUUGUUUCUCUUGAUGCUUAUGAGGUCCCUAUUCCAUGAAGUUAGCAUAUUGAUGGUUGUGGAUUAACCAUGCAUGUUUUUAGGUCCACCUGGUGAAAGUAGAAUGCUAAAAUAAGGUUUGGGUUCUUUUGACCAUGCAAGGGCUCCAAGUUCAUGAAUUUAAGGAUUAAGACGUUCCUUUAGACUUGGAUCUGGAAUUUGGUUGUUGGAAUGCAAGUAUUAAACACUUAAGGAAAAAGUGGUUAAUAGGUGCGUACUUUGGGCGUAUGCAAGAGUACACGGUGUGUACGUGCCCGUGUCCGUGAUCACGUAUUGUUGCCUAUUAUGCAGGACGUAUGCCUAGCAUGCGAAGCGUACCAAGCUUGAUCUUGGGCCUUCUUUUAGACUCAGACUCUUUUUAAACUUUGGGCCUUAGUUGGAUUUUGGGCCUUGUAUCUGUUGGGUCAUAAUUGGACCUUAGGUUUAUGUGUUAGCCCAUUAUUGGGCCUUGGACCACUAUAAGGUUAUUGCGCAAAGCUAGUUGGGCCCAAUAAAGGGAAAAGGUAGAAAAGUAUUUUACCCUUAAGGCUGAGGAUGUUAGAUUGGGGACCCCGAUUAUGAAUUUGACCUAAUUAUUAAUUAGGGUAUUGUUUGAUUGAUUAGCGCGAGGAUUUUCUGGAUUAGCAAUCCAAGCAUUUAUCUGAUUUUCAGCAGUCUGAGGUGAGUCUGCUCAUAGUGUUUUAUGGGUCGAAGGCACCAAUGCCGAUCCAUGAUUUAUUAUGAUUAGGAAGCUAGUUAGCUGUGUGACUCUUGCAUGUGUAGUAUGUGAUAUGUAUACCGGGCGGGGUCUGAUGAGAGUAUUGUAUAUUAUUUGUCUUGGUGAUUCUUGUAUGUUUUAUGUGUCUGUAUGAAUGUCAUGCUAGGCCCGAUGCCAGGCUGGGCCUGAUGAAUGUGAUGAGGCAGGGCCCAUCUUACGUUAUCGACAGAUUUGUUCCAAGCGUGGCUCGAUGUCGGGUGAGGCCUGAUAGUUUUUAGACAUAGCCUAUUAUAUGUUUGAUAUGUAUGGUAUGAGGUAUUUUGGGGAACUCACUAAGCUUCGUGCUUAUGGUUUUCAGUUUAUGUUUCAGGUACUUAUGGAUCGAAGGGGAAGGGCUCGAGAUGAUCGCAUCGCACACACCACGUUGUUUCGUAUUUUGUUGAUUUGAUGUACCUGGAUAAUUAUUGACGUACUCUAAUUUUCUUUUAUGGUUUUAUAAACUCAUUUUGGAUGUUGGUUUUAUUAUUAUUAAAAUAUAAUUUUUGUUCUUAAAUUCUGGACGUUACAAGAAAGGAAGAAGAGAGAGAUAGAGGAGACGGUGGGAGAAGACGGAGAAGGACUUGACUCUUUCUAGCCGAUGAGAGAGAAACCGCACUCGUAACCACAAAACCAACUCGAUGUUUGCCACAACUUAGGUGGAAAACCGAACUCGGAACCGUACCCACACCUUUCAGCUUUAGAAAUAGGAACAUGUUUUGAUAUGUAACAUAUGAUUGCUGAAAAGUAGAAUGAUUUUGUCACUAUUUUAGUACAAAUCAAAAUUUUGGAAUUCAUUAGCAUUAUGGAAAACAUCUAUUUUUCAUCCACAUUUCAAGCCACUAUUCGUUACUUACACCAUGUGUAACGCCCGUAGAUCAGGGCUAAUCAAUUAAGAGACGAUAAGCGUCAAAAAUGACUUUUUUUAUAAAAAGAUUAUUUAGAAUGAAUAACCUUAACUAAGUUGUAGUAUAUGUCACAAGGUUUCCAUGCAUAUAAAGAACGCCGAAAUCCGAGUUAUAACGAAGAAGUUAUGACCUGUCGAAGUUUCACAACAGAACCGACACGACCCAGCACGACCCAGCGCGACGUANACACGACGCUGAAUGACGUAAAAAGUGAAUUUACGUUAGAUUGAUGUUUAGCCUUAGCGAUCUAAUCAAAAGUUGUAGAGUUCGUUAAACCAUGAGCGUGCAUAAAAAGAACGUCCGAAUCUGACUUCGUAUGAGGAAGUUAUGAUUUUUCUAAGUUUCGACUUAGCGGUAUGCAGCCCGAAUACUUGAUUUGAGAUCGAGUGGUUUUUAUCCGAAACACUAUAAACGAGAAUCGAAGAUCUUGUUGAUAGUAGUCCAACGGUAAAAAGACAGACGAAAACGGACGUCAGAUGAAGAAGUUAUGAAUUUAUAACGAAGUUUUCCUGUUCCGGCCUACUAAAAAUAAAUAAUAAAAAAUAAAUCAAAAUUAGCCAACGGAGUCUAAAUGAAAGUUGUAGAGCAUAAUCUCACCUACGCGUGCCUAUAAAGAACGUCGAAAACGGAGCUCGUAUGCGAAAGUUAUGAAUUUUUGAAGAUCGUGGCACGCAUACCAAAACUUAUCCGAAGCGUACGCCCAACGUAACCAAGAUUACACCCAGCGUACUGAGUACACCCAUCGUACUUGGAAAUUAUGCCCAACGUAAUCCCAUACCCAGCAGCCUAUAAAUAGAAACUGAGAUAAUCCAUUUUCUUUGGUCAUUUUCUUUCUUCUCUCUAGUUUUUGCCUCGAUUUGCGUGCCAAUUACAUCCCUAACCCCCGGUAUCAUUCUCGAGCCCUGAAGCAAUUUCCGAAGCCUCGAGGGUCCCGAGAAGUGAGAUUCCCGAGCCGAAGCUCUGCUCGCGAGAAGCCCGUUUUUUGUGAAGAUCUUCCAGAUCUACCGAAGAAUACUNAUAUAUAUAUAUAUAUAUUGUUGUUUAUAUGCGUGAGUGUAUAGUUACUUUGUUCUACCACAUAGAUAUGAAGUAUUUGCUAUGAAAUACGUGCUAUGUGUUUACACGUUGUUUGUUUACUUGAGAUGGAUGUUGAACGAAUGUUUUAUACAUGUUUUUAAAUAAUUUAAAUGAUAUAUAUGUAAUUUAUAUCUACAAAUAUGUUGGAUAGAACAUGGGUAGAUGAAAUAGUUGGUGUGUGAUGAAAGAUGAGUUUGAGGACGAGACGAAGAUGAUAUAUAUCAUGAGAUGAGGGUGACAGGUGAAAAAUGAGUGAAACCUUUACCCAAACGAUGGCCCCCGUCAUUCAGCAGAGUAGGGAUGACAACCAGAGACUAUUCUAGACAGUCCAGCGGAACACUAGCAAGCUCGCAACUUGUAGGUGUUGUGGACUUGAUGUUCACCGGUGUACUCUAAAAACCCUGGCAGCUAUAGAUUUAGUGCCUCAUUAUAAAACGAUGGUAGCUAUGGAUUUAGUACAGUGUAGAUGAACCAUGGUAGCUAUGGAUUUAGUACUAUGAACCUUGGUAGCUAUGGAUUUAGUACUAUGUAGAUUAACCUCAGCCAACAAUGGACUUUAUGCCAAUUCCUUAGGAACGAAUGAAGGAAGGAUAGUCGAUUCUUAGGGUAAAACCUUAAGAAAUAAAGAAGAUAAAGGGGAUGGGUAAUUGGGUUGAUUGUUUGAUGAUUGAAUAUAAUAAUUAUAUUAUUGUGGGCUGAAAACCCUAUAUGCUCACCAGGGUCCCAAGCCUGACCCACUCAGUUUUCUUUGUAUCACAGGUAUCAAUAUGAAGACAUAUUGCACUAAGAGAUUAAAGGAGAUGUAAAUCAUUAGUGUAAAUAAAUGUAAGUUCUGUUUAUGCUUAUGUGUCUGUAUCGGAACAUGACAUCCCGAGAUUUUGUUAUAUAAUGAAAAUACUUUUCUUUAAGAAAUGCUUUGAUAAAUUCUUAUCAUAUUUUGUUUUGGGGACAAAUUCCGCAAUAAUUUUCUUUAAACGAUUACUCUGAUUUUAAAAACAAAGCAUAAACAAAUCGGUAUUUUCUGGCCGAGAUUUUGGGGAUGUCACACCAUGUAAUGCAUAAUCAGUUGUAUAGUUGUAUAGACAGUGAAAUUAUAUAAACAAUAAACGAUAAUUAAUUUAUCGGGCAACCCAUUCAUCAAACAAACAUUAGUUACUAUUUGUUUUACAUAUAUAAUAAAAAAUAAACAUCUUGACUAGUGUCUUAUUUGAAAGUUAACUCAUUGAGAAUAUAAACAUAUACAACAUAAUAGAGAAUCCAUGGAUCACUUAACCAACAUUAAGUCCAAGGCUAAGUGGGAGUAACCCACAAGAAAUGAAAGCUGCGUUUAUCAUUUUGUCAUUUUGUCGAACAUAUGAUGCACAUCUCCCUCCACCACCAUUUAUACCCCCUUCACUCAAUUCCCAAACCUAAAUAGUCACACUAACCAGAUUGGAUUCUAUCGAUGGAAUCACACACGUGGAGAAUGAUUGGCGACACAGUAAGGAAAUCAUGGGUGGUGGCCGCUACCAUCAGGUCGGUUGAGGCAUUGAAAGAUCAAGGCGUUGCACGGUGGAACAGACCUCUUACAAAAAUUUCUUAUUGUUCGUCAGCGGUGGUUACAACUGGUAAAUUCAGAGUGAAAAGAGGAAAAGUGGAAUAAAUGAAGAAAGUCAUGGAUAUGAGUUGCUUUGGUCCAAAUACUGUUAGAUUUUAGAAGCGUGCUUUGUAUUAUCGCCAUGGAUGCCGAUCCACAAGAUAAACAAGUCUAACACUAAUCCUGUAAGUGUUCGUAAUUUGUCUCCAUCCAUCAUCAAUGCAUGAUUUUUGAAUCGAACCACGCCACAAAUUCCAAAUUCUUACUGGAUUAAAGUUUCUACUUCAAAAACAUAUCGGUUGAUCUAUUGCAUCAGCAGAUCAAACUAUUGAUCAAUCAACGUUAAUUUCUAUUGAAGUUUUGAAAUCUGAUUAUUGAUAUGAACAUUCAUUUACAUAUUAUAUUCAUAUAUUGUUUCACGAUACUCAAACUUUUCAUAAUCAAACAUAUUAUAUUACAUAUACAACUUUAUACUCCUCUUUUUGUUAUCUUUACACGGACAUUAUAACACCCAAAUCUACAAUCUCAAAAGUCAAAAUCAUCUUGAUUUGGUUUGGGCGAAGUCAACAAAGCAGUGUAAAGCCUCAACCGAUCUUCCCCAAGUGAAGAACACCUCGACAAUGGUCUUCUCGGCCUAAUGAAAGACAACGACGUCAAAGUGAGUCUAUGCUGGUACCUUCGCCAUGCCAACUGAAUCGCCACCGCCGCCCAAGUCCUCCACCCCGGAGAAUAAUACCGAGCACUCCUCUUCACCUUUUCAUUCACAAAUGUAUACCUAAAAUGCCGCGUUACAUACUUGACAUCAUCGGCUUCUAGCCCAAAAGCUUCGGUUGUUUCAAGAGUCACGAGCGUUGAUGAUGACGGUGGUAGUCUCUCGAUGAAUGGCCGCCGGAGACACCAUGAUAAGAGCUCGUCGCCGCUGAAGUUUCCGGGUCCUAACAUGCAACAACUGUUGACACCAUCUCGGAGUACUUGGCUGCUUUGAAGAUGACCUCUUACUAUGAACAACAUUCUCUGUACAGGGUCACCUUCUCUUGCAAUCUACUCAUAAAUAAAAUAUUUUUAAAGAAAAUACGAAAUUGAUGUAAUAAUUAUCAAAUUCAUAUUUUGGUUGCAAAAUUGAAUAAAUUGCAAAAUUGAUUUUUUCUUUUUGAAAAAUUAAAAAAUUACUUUUUACUCACAAAAAGCUACACAUAUGACAUAAAAGAUUCUAUAUAUUAGUUAUUAUUAUUAUUAUUUUUAAACUGAACCUCAACUAUAUUUUUUAUUUUUUUAAUUAAAGGUCAACUUUAUUUUUGAUUAACAAAAGAUUGCAAAAUUGGUUACUUUAUUAAAUAUUAAAUAUCAUAUGAUAGUUAAUUUUGUGAUUAAAUGAAGGUAGUAAUUGUAGACUUUUGAGUUCAGAAGGACUAACCGUUUCUCCCUUUGUAAAAAUGAGGGACUUGACACGAUCGCAUAUAUUCUCAAGGACCAAAUUGUCCAUAUGUUGAAAUAAUGGUACCUGAGUUAAACAUUCAUCAUAACAAUAAGAUUUUAAGAUAAGAAGUAAGAACAUAUAAGUUUCAUCUCACCUCCUCGAAGGUCUAUCUUAUUACCAAUUACACGCACCAGUCAAGAUUAUUGUCAUUUAAAUCCAAACAGUUCAACAUUUACAAAGUUCUAUUUAGUAUAUCAUUAUAGAAAACUUUUUACAAAACAAAGAAACCAUUUAUUCAUUGUCGAUAAAUCUAUAUCUCAACUGAUAAAAUAAGAUAUUUCGAUUCGUUAUAGAUAAUAGACAAUAGAUUUUAGAUUAUCAAUAUAUAUACCUGUCGCACCAAGUCCAAACAGAGAUGAUACUUAAUGUCUCUCCUGAGACCCUCAGGAAGAUUGUGUAUCAUCUCACAUUCGUCCACACCACGCAUUGCCGUCCAUCGUUGGCGCUCAUAGUUACGUACUCUUUGCCGGAAACUUUGAGGGAGCUGCCUCCUCUUCAUCCACCACUCUAUGUUUCUCAUUUUCAAUUGCAUAGCUAGUUUCUUUGAUGUUGUUGCAUGUAAAAACACCUAUAUACACAAAAAUAUAUCAUCUUUCAAAAAUGACUAAAACGUCCUUGUAUUCUCUACAUAUUUAAAAAAGUAACUUUAAGUUCAAUAAGGAUGCUUUUGAGACCAAUCCAUGCUAUUUAUAUGUGUGUGCAUGUACCUUGAUAUUUCCAAUCAACAUGGUGACUAGAAGAAGUCCCAUUGUGAGAACGAUGAUGAUGAAAACACAUUCCAACCAAUCUGUUGUGCUUUCUAAGUUCCCAAACGUACUGUAUAUAUAUAAUAAAUACAUAUAAUAAAAUCAUUUAACACUAUAAAAAACGUUUCUUGAUGAAAAUCGAGUUACCUAAGGUUCAUGAGUCCCCAAAAAAUGGGUAAAAGUAUCUUUUCUAAACGGCUAUCAUUGGUAAAGAGUUGAAGAGUCCAUUUAUAAGCUCCAUAGCCAUCUUCGCUUUCAAGACAAGUUGUUCUCGCCUCUUUAUUUGAUCCCCAUAAGAGCCUUGUGUGAUCUUUCACAAACUUAUCUGUGCCAUAAUAAACAGGGUUCUGACAUGUCAAAAAUCUUGAGACACAAAUCCCGUUUGUUUCCAUGCAUUUUUCUUUCAAGCAUUUCACAACCCUUUGCAUACCAAGCAAGUACCAACACGCUCCUACAGCCUGCAAACCGAUAAAAAAUAUUUGAGAAAAUGACUGAAAUAUAUUAAAUUCUAGCUAGUUAUAUUAUAUGUAAGCACAAUUUAAAGAGUACUUUUGUCACAGUGCUUUUGGGAGUAAAUUUAUUUUCAAUUAUUGAAGGGGUCUAUCAUAAUUUCAAAAUAAUGUAGGCAUGUUAAGACAAAAUUAAGAUAAAAAAAGACAAUCUUACAUGAGAGGCAACUAAAUAAGCGAUCAAAUUGAGAACAAUCCCCCACCAAACAGUACCAAAAAUGUAGCCUGAGAGAUUUUGCAUACGUCGCAAAAGGCAUACAGAGUGAUAAAUCUUUGGUAAGUAUUGAAACAAGAACACGAGUAAAGAAACUGUCAUUAUUUCUGUCGUCAAACCCUUCUUUAACAAUGCAGGAAUCACUACCCAUAACACCACCUGUCCAAAGAAUUUAAUUCUAUAUUAUUUAAAAAUUAAAUAUAUAAUAAAAAUGAACCAUUUAUUGUGAAUGAUUUCACCUUAAUAGUUAAAAGAGAAAUAAAGUUAUUGAACUGCUAACCGAUCAAAGUUGAAGUGUACUCUAAAUGGUUCCAUUAAGAUUGAUCAAAGAUACUAAAUAUGUAACUAUUAGAAUAACCUAUAUAAUAUGGAACAAACCGUGCAAGAAAAAAAAAUGUAAAACAUAAAUAUGUUAGAAUAUGCAUUAAUGAAUUAAUUAAUUUUUAUAUUCUAGUAUAGUAAUAUUAAAUUAAUAUUUUUAGGACGCGACUUUAUCUUGUUUAGAUUUUGUAUUAAUGGAAAGUUGACAUGUAUUAAAAUAAUAAUACUUUAAUUUAUCGGUAUAAUGAUUUCUGUCAAAUGUUUUAUAAACCUGAGGGAUUGGGAGGAUGACGAAGAGAUCAAACAGGAACGCCUUCCGGGACACGUUGCAUGAAUUCCUGUCGUCAUGUCGUAAUCCGACGUCGUAACGCCACCACCUGUUCGACUUGAACUGUAACCACAUGUUGGCCGCGUGCAAGGCGUCGGUCAUGCACCGGACCACCGUGACGGUGAUAGCAAACCACCCGUCAAUGAACACACACAUCCAGGAGUCACUUAUGGAGAGUGUGUAGAAAAACAGCGGGUCGAUGAACAUACCGAUGAUGCAUGCAAGCAAAUAAACCUGUUCCCACGCCAGUAAAACACCUCGACGGAAUGCGCCGCCGUGAAUGCUGCUCUUACUCUCCGUCGACCCCACUUCCAUUGUUUCAUCGCCGGAGUAGUCGUCGAUUGUGUCGGAGUAAUCAUCGGAAAAACGAUGCCUGCUGUUCAUUUUGACUGGAGUUCCCCACAAUGAAGAAGAAAGAAACGAUAUAUUUAUAUAUAUACACACACGUGGAUAUGUAUAUAUGUAUACAUAUGUCUCUGCAUAUAUACACAGAGAAAGAAAGAGAAGGGGUACGCGUGGAAACGACACUAUUACGAGUGUGAAAUUUUGAUAUGUAGCUCAGGUGAUCAGGUUGAUUAAUGUACUGGGAUACAUAGUUGCUGUGAAUGUACAUAAUUGUCCUUUUGUAAGCAUGUGAAUUGUUCGGUUGAUAUGUAUAGGGAGUAAAAUGUUGGUCAAACGACUCCAACCAAUAGGAUCACUCUCAAAGAAGCUAUAGAGAAUGAAAAAUGGAGAAUUGCAAUGAAAGGAAGACUUGUAAUAAGUUCAAAGAAACUCAUGGUGAAUGCAAUCAUUCACAUAACUAUAGGAAAUCGACUACUAGGAGAGGGUUUUUUUUGGUAAUUACAAAGUUGAAAACUAUUGAAACAUUCGUCUGGAUUUACUCUCAAGUGGAACUUUGUUCCUACAUAUAUAGGUGGAACAAGAAAUUGUUUAAAAUUUUAUAUUGUUCUUCAUGAUUCAUCAAAUGAUCGAUGGGAGUAUCACAAAAGGUUAGAAAGGUGAUGGUCGUCGGUUUAACUUAUUGGUUGUCAUAUAGAGGUAGAAGUGUUAAUGUUAAUCGUCACAAGAUGGGCAUUGGGCUCAUUAUAUUAGAAGUGAAACUUCAAUCUUUUGCAUGGAUAGCUUUCUCUCUCCAUCAUCCCUUGGUUUUCUAAAGAAUCUUAAAAUAGACCUGCCAAAAUUCAAUAACUAUGCAACAAAUUGAAUAAGAUAGUAGAACCCUAAUCAAGCCAAAAGUCCGGUUACGAUCAUAUAAAUAGAAACAAAAUCCUGACUUAGGACUUUGACAAGUCUCUAUUUAAACUAGCAUCUUAUUUUGUAACGAGUAAAAAUGAUUAUUUUCUUGAUUAGCUAGUCUCAUUUUUUUUCCCAGUAAUAUAGCAUAUUGAUCAUUAUUUACUUUGACACCCCCUAUUUUUUGGUUAGAAAUGGCCCCUAUAUUUUUAAUAUUAUAGAUAUUAGAUCCAAAAAUAUAAAAAUUUAGCUGUGGCCCUCCCUGCUCACCAGUUUUUAUACAUAUUAUAUUUUUGGCCGCCAAAUUAAAUAUUAAAGCUCCGCCCUUAAUUGAAGCCAAUCACCACUACAUCUUAUACCAAAGGCUUUCUAACUUAACUGUUUUUUUAUCGGUCUGGUCUGGUUUUUUUACCGGUCCGGUCCGGCCCGUUCCGGGUAAAAACUGGUUACGGACCGACUUAUUUUUUUAAAAAAAAUUGUAUUAUGUGAAAAUUUUUAAAUAAGCAUAUUUCAUUCGUUUUAAGUCGGAUUGACAUACAGUUUUUUUCAACGUAUAAUUUAGAGUUUGUAGAUGAUUCUUGACUAUAAUCUUGUUGUUUUUAGUUUUAUAUUCGAUGAGUUAUAAGCCUUCAAAGAUGAGAUAUCAAAGCUGAAAUAUUUUAGUUUUUCAGCAAGAAAUUUAUAAUUUGUAUUCUGUGUAAAUUUUUUAAACAAACAUAUCUCAUUCGUUUUAAAUCGGAUUGACAUGCUGUUUUUUUCCAACGUGUAAUUUAGAGUUCAUAGAUUAUUUUAGACUAUAAUUUUAUUGUUUUUGGUGUUAUAUUCGAUGAGCUACAAUCCUUUAAAGAUAAGAUAUGAAAGCUGAAAUAUUUAAGCUUUUCAGCAAAAAAAUUUGAACUUUUGUAUUCUGUAAAAUUCUUUAAAUAAGCAUAUCUCAUUCGUUUUAAGUCGGAUCGACAUGUGGUUUUUCCAAUGUGUAAUUUAGAGUUUGUACAUGAUUUUAGACUAUACUUUUAUUGUUUUUGGUGUUAUUUUAGAUGAGUUACAGACAUUCAAAGAUGAGAUAUCAAGCAAAAGUAUUUUAGCAAGAAAUUUAAACUUUUGUAUUCUGUUAAAUUCAUUAAACAAACAUAUCUCAUUCGUUUUAAAUCGGAUUGACAUGCGGUUUCUACCAACAUGUAAUUUAGAGUUUGUAGAUAACUUUAAACUAUAUUUUUGUUGUUAUAUUCAAUGAGUUACAAUCAAUAAAAGUUAUGUAACGCCCGUAGAUCCGGGCUAGUCAAUUUAGAUAUAAUAGGGGUCGAAAAUGACUUUUCGACAAAAGAUUAUUUAGAAUAAAUAAUCUUAAACAAGUUGUAGUUUAUGUUACAAGGUUUCCGUACAUAUAAAGAGCGCCAAAAUCCGAGUUAUAACGAAGAAGUUAUGACCCGUCGAAGUUUCGCGACGGAACCGGCACGACACCGGAAAGUGUAAAUAGUGAAUUUAUGAUAGAGCGACUUUUAACAUUAACGAUCUAAACAAAAGUCAUAGAAAAUGUUAAACCGAGAGUGUCCAUAAAAAGAACGCCCAAAUCUGACUUCGUAUGAGGAAGUUAUGAUUUUUCUAAGAUUUAACAUAGCAGUGCACAGCCCGAAAAUUCGAAUAUUAGAUCGGUCGAUUUUCAGCCAAAAUAAUCUAAACGAGAAAUGAAGAUAUCAUUAAUAGGAGUUAAACGAUAAAAAGAUAGUAAAAAACGGAGCUCGUAUGCAGAAGUUAUGGACGAAGCUUAGUCUCUACUUUUCGAGCGCGACAAAUUCGAUACAGUUUUGUAAAUCUGAGAUAGAUUGAGAAUUAGCCAACAAGUUCUAAAUGAAAGUUGUAGUACUCGUAAAUACCAACACGUGGAUAUAAAUAUUGACAAAAAAGGAGAUCGUAUGCGAAAGUUACGGACGAAGCUUAGUCUAUACUUUUCGAGCGCGGCGAAUUCGAUAUAGUUUUUGCAAAUAUGAGAUAGAAGGGGAAUUAGCCGAUGGGGUCUAAAUGAAAGUUGUAGUACUCGUAAAUACCAACACGUGGAUAUAAAUAACGUAGAAAACGGAGCUCGUGCGUGGAAGAUACGGGCGAAGCUUAGAGACUACUUUACUAUAAAACUCCUAUAAAUAAAGGGUGAACUCCUCAUAUUUUCUUCACACCAUAAGCCUUUCUUUCUCUCUCUAACUUCUCUCUAGCCUCCCUAAACCCCUCCCAAGUCUAGGGAACCUCCCUAGCACGAGAAGGAAGCCCCGGAGCGCCCGACGGCUCCGAGAAGAAAAGCUUUCGGCUNNNNNNNNNNNNNNNNNNNNNNNNNNNNNNNNNNNNNNNNNNNNNNNNNNNNNNNNNNNNNNNNNNNNNNNNNNNNNNNNNNNNNNNNNNNNNNNNNNNNNNNNNNNNNNNNNNNNNNNNNNNNNNNNNNNNNNNNNNNNNNNNNNNNNNNNNNNNNNNNNNNNNNNNNNNNNNNNNNNNNNNNNNNNNNNNNNNNNNNNNNNNNNNNNNNNNNNNNNNNNNNNNNNNNNNNNNNNNNNNNNNNNNNNNNNNNNNNNNNNNNNNNNNNNNNNNNNNNNNNNNNNNNNNNNNNNNNNNNNNNNNNNNNNNNNNNNNNNNNNNNNNNNNNNNNNNNNNNNNNNNNNNNNNNNNNNNNNNNNNNNNNNNNNNNNNNNNNNNNNNNNNNNNNNNNNNNNNNNNNNNNNNNNNNNNNNNNNNNNNNNNNNNNNNNNNNNNNNNNNNNNNNNNNNNNNNNNNNNNNNNNNNNNNNNNNNNNNNNNNNNNNNNNNNNNNNNNNNNNNNNNNNNAAACCCUGGCAGCUAUGGAUUUAGUGCCCGUUGAGUAAACCCUGGCAACGAUGGAUUUCAUGCCGAUUCCUUAGGAUGAUCCUUAGGAAUGAAUUAACGAGGAGUAGCUGAUUCUUAGGGUAGACCCUUAAGAGUAGAGAAGAUAAUGGGGAUGGGUAAUUGGGUUAACUGUUUGACGAUUAAACAUAAUAAUUAUAUUAUUGUGGGUUGAAAACCCUAUGUACUCACCAGGUUUCCCAACCUGCACACUCUGUUUAUUUAUAUCACAUGUGUUGAUAUGAAGUCACAUUACACUGAGAGAUUAAGGAGAUAUAGAUCACUAGUGAUAAUGAAUGUAAGUUCUGUUUAUGCUUAUAUUUCUGUAUUAACGGUAACAUCCCAAAUGUUUUAAAAUGAAUAAAAAUACAUUUCUUCAGAAAUGCUUUGAUAACAUAUUUAUCAUGUUUUACUGGGAACAAAUUCCACAACAUUUUUAUUAAAAGAUGUACUCUGAUUUUUAUAAAGCAUAAACAAAAUCGAUCUUUUCUGGCCGUGAAAAAUGUGGAUGUCACAGUUGGUAUCAGAACAUUAGUUUAAGCGAACUAGGAAUUUGUAGGAUUUCUAGACUUAAACUUAGAAUGCUAAGAAAUGAGUUNGCGAUGAUUGUGAGAUGAGUGUCUGCUAUAUUUUAGACACAAGCACUAGUUUAUUUUAGGAAAGAUGCCUAAAAUGUUUUAUGUGCUAAAUGUUUUAUGUUAUAGCUAUAAAGAUGCCAUAUAUGCUAUUAUUUGUUCGGAUCUAUGGUCUGUUGCCGACCGGAUCUGGAAAUUUUAUGUGUUCAGAUUUCUAAACGUUUGAUUACGGUAUUAGAACUGGCAUAUAACUUUUCGGUGUGACAAGGAGAUCUAUACGUCUAUCGUAAAUAAAAUCUUUCCUAUCUUAAAAUUCUCGCCUCAGUACACCGAACGUCUGCUUGGGUGUACAAAACGUCAUGGUAAAGACAGACUAGGAAAUAUCCGAGAAGAUGACAACCUGAGCCUAAGAAUGUGAUGGGUCAAGCAUCGGUCAUUGCGCCUGCACCCAAACCUAUCACAAUGGCAGAAGUUCAGGAAGUGAUGCGAACCAUGAUAGACUGAGAAAAUAGAGGAAAUGAGAUGGCUUACGAUAGUAAAUGAUACCUAUCGGAAGAUAUCAUAAGAGAGGUAUCUUGUCUUUAGAAUACGUCUGAUAAAAUAGCAGUACGUCUAGAGAAGUACGGUACAUCUGAAUGUACACAUUUGAUUGGCGGGAUGAUAGAACGAUUGGUGUAAUUCCUAAAGUUUUCCUAUCAUCUGGAAUGUCCAUCACCAACCGAGUUGAAGCAGAAUUGAUGAUUGAAGAUAUGCAUGGAAGAAGUCCUAGUAGAGUCUAGGGAAAUUUUUAUGAUUAUUUGGACACCCUCGUAUGUGUUAAAUUGUUUUGUGAUUUUAGGACUUGGGGACUGCGAGAUAGUACUUGGGACGAGUAUGAGUAGGUGUGAAAGGUAGUAGAUGCAUAUACUAUCGGAAGCACAUGACUCACGCUUGGGUCAGGGAAAGUCACAAGGUUACCAAGAAACUAGUAAUUGAUUUCGUUUUAUUCAAGUAUGUUGUUACCAUCAUUUCGGUAAUGACUAAAAAGAUGAUUGUUAUUCCGACCCUAGUGGUCAUAUGAAAUUGAGUCCGACUAAGACGAAUAUGUUACAUGGUUCAGAGAACCAAGUCCGAUGUAGUAUCUGACUUAAACUAGAAGAUUGAAGUGAAAGACAGUCAAAACGAUCAGUAGAGGUAUCUGGAUAGUUGCUUGUAGCUAGGAAUGCUACCUUUUAAGAUGUGAUUAUAUCACAUUAGAACAUGAAGGGGGGUAUAGUCUGUUCUGGAAAUUUGACUCUAAAAGACCCGAGUCUAAGCGUUCCAACAUACGAUGUUAGGUCAUUACAAUAGGACACAUCGGUCCACGAUAGUAAUCCUAAGAUUGUUAAGAGGAAGAAGCAGUCUCCAGUAAGGAUCGAGAUUGUGACUUGAAGGUCAUAAUUGGGAGUCCAACGUGAGAUAGGGAGCGGGUCCAAGAUCGGGCACCGCCUGUAGUCUGGAAAUCUUAGAGUUAGAUACUCGUUUAAAGAAACAUCAAAGUUACGGUUAUUACUUAGGAUGAAGAGAUAAUGUAUGGAGUCAUCAUGUGAGCCCUGUUUCUUUGAUGAUUCUGGGACGUAAUCAUCCUAAGAGGGAGAUAAUUGUAACGCCUGUAGAUCCGGGCUAGUCAAUUUAGAGAUAAUAGGGGUCGAAAAUGACUUUUCGGCAAAAGAUUAUUUAGAAUAAAUAAUCUUAACCAAGUUGUACUAUAUGUUACAAGGUUUCCGUACAUAUAAAGAGCACCGAAAUCCGAGUUAUAACGAAGAAGUUAUGACCCGUCGAAGUUUCGCGACGGAACCGGCACGGCACGGGAAGUGUAAAUAGUGAAUUUACGAUAGAGCGACUUUUAGCCUUAAAGAUCUAAAGAAAAGUCAUAGAAAAUAUUAAACCGAGAGUGUCCAUAAAAAGAACGCCCAAAUCUGACUUCGUAUGAGGAAGUUAUGAUUUUUCUAAGAUUUAGCAUAACAGUGCACAGUCCGAAAAUUCGAAUUUUAGAUCGGUCGAUUUUCAGCCAAAAUAAUCUAAACGAGAAAUGAAGAUAUCAUUAAUAGGAGUUAAACGAUAAAAAGAUAGUAAAAAACAGAGCUCAUAUGCGAAAGUUAUGGACGAAACUUAGUCUCUACUUUUCGAGCGCGACAAAUUCGAUACAGUUUUGUAAAUCUGAGAUAGAUUGAGAAUUAGCCAACAAGUUCUAAAUGAAAGUUGUAGUACUCGUAAAUACCAACACGUGGAUAUAAAUAUUGACAAAAAAGGAGAUCGUAUGCGAAAGUUACGGACGAAGCUUAGUCUAUACUUUUCGAGCGCGGCGAAUUCGAUACAGUUUUUGUAAAUAUGAGAUAGAAGGAGAAUUAGCCGACGGGGUCUAAAUGAAAGUUGUAUUACUCAUAAAUACCAACGCGUGGAUAUAAAUAACGUAGAAAACGGAGCUCGUACGCGGAAGAUACAGACGAAGCUUAGAGACUACUUUAUUAUAAAACUCCUAUAAAUAAAGGGUGAACUCCUCAUAUUUUCUUCACACCAUAAGCCUUUCUUUCUCUCUCUAACUUCUCUCUAGCCUCCCUAAACCCCUCCGAAGUCUAUGGAACCUCCCUAGCACAAGAAGGAAGCCCCGGAGCGCCCGACGGAUUCGAGAAGAAAAGCUUUCGGCUCGGAAAUGCAUCUAGCGAAGCCGGUUUUCCAUAAAACCCGCUGUAAGUGAGCUACGCUUACGCUAUUUUUUAAAUAGCUUUUAUUUAAUUAUAGCAACGUUAUUAGGAACUUAUAAUAAGUACUUUGGCUAUUAUUAUGAUUUAUAUAAGUAUUGAUUAACGCUUAUAUAAUAGUAAUAAUAGUUAGACUAUUUAUUAGUCGCGGUUAACGUUAAAAAAUAAACCGUAGUGGUAUUGAUACUAGGUUUUGUCGAGGAAAAUUGUUUUGAGAUAACGAAGCACUGUCUGAGUUCGGCAUCACCACCUAAUCAAGUGAGUGCAUGGUCCCUUUCAUCUUACACAUAGAUAUGAAGUAUUUUAUAUAAACUACGUGCUAUGUGUGAAUAUUAUCUGUAUAAUUGCUAUCUAUGCUGGAUGAACGAUUUUAUACAUGUUUUAAAUGAUUUAAACUGUAUAUGUAUUUUAUAUCUACGAUAAUGUUGGGGUAAAACAUGGGUAGAUGUAAUAGAUGGAGUAUGAGUUGGAUGAUGAGUUGAGAGGUGAAAUAGACCGUGAGGUGAGGGUGAGAGGUGGACGAUGUGAGAAGCCUUUUUCCCAAAUGAUGGCCCCGUCAUUCAACAGAGUAUGGAUGACAACCACGGACUAUUCUAGACAGUCCAGUGGAACACUAGCAGGCUCGCAACCUGUAGGUGUUAUGAACGAUGUGUUCACCGGUGUACUCUAAAAAUCCAUUGACAUGUAUUGUGAGUGGACACUGUCGAUAAACGAAAUAGCCCUGACAGCUAUGGAUUUAGUGUCUGUUGAGAAAACCCUGACAGCUAUGGAUUUAGUGCCCGUUGAGUAAACCCUGGCAACGAUGGAUUUCAUGCCGAUUCCUUAGGAUGAUCCUUAGGAAUGAAUUAACGAGGAGUAGCUGAUUCUUAGGGUAGACCCUUAAGAGUAGAGAAGAUAAUGGGGAUGGGUAAUUGGGUUAACUGUUUGACGAUUAAACAUAAUAAUUAUAUUAUUGUGGGUUGAAAACCCUAUGUACUCACCAGGUUUCCCAACCUGACCCACUCAGUUUAUUUAUAUCACAGGUGUUGAUAUGAAGUCACAUUACACUAAGAGAUUAAGGAGAUAUAUAGAUCACUAGUGAUAAUGAAUGUAAGUUCUGUUUAUGCUUAUGUUUCUGUAUUAACGAUGACAUCCCAAAUGUUUUAAAAUGAAUAAAAAUACAUUUCUUCAGAAAUGCUUUGAUAACAUAUUUAUCAUGUUUUACUGGGAACAAGUUCCGCAACAUUUUUAUUAAAUGAAGUACUCUGAUUUUUAUAAAGCAUAAACAAAAUCGGUCUUUUCUGGUCAUGAAAAAUGGGGAUGUCACAAGUUAAGAUAUCAAAGCUAAAAUAUUUCAGCUUUUCAACAAUUAUUUUAGACUGUAAUUCUGAAUUUUAUGUAUCUUUUGAUAGAUAAAUCAUAUUAAAGGAAUCCUGAUAGAGUACCGGAAAAUUCUGACUUCGAAAUUGUAAUGGAUAUGGUGAACUUCUUUGAAAAUUUCAAGACAAAAUAGAGCUUGUCUCAGCUACAUCAAAACCUUUGGUAAAUCUUUUUAUCUGGGUAGUCUUAGAUGUGGACAUACAUCUAAGAAAGUGGUCAACCAAGCCAAUGUUUCUCGAAAUGGUAAAGGACAUGAAGACGAAAUACGAAAAGUAUUGUAGUGCCUACAACAAGAUGAACGAUUUUAUGUACUUUGCGAUUUUACUUGAUCGUACCACCAAAUCACCUUUUUUGUUACAUACAUUUAAAAAAAAUGAUCGGGUACAUGGAACCAUCAUUGACCUCCGCAUGCAUUUGUUGGUAAACUUGAUAUAUAUGUUAAUUGGUAAACAUGUUAGAUUUAGAUGACAAUAUAUGUAUGUUUGUGUUAAAUUGUUACUGGUCCAAACGGGUCUAAGAACCGGAAAACCCGGACCUGGACCCGGACACGGAUACAGACAUGGACGCGACUCUUCCGUUCCGGUCCACGGUCCAUAAUAUUCUCCAUAACCGGUCCGGUCCAAAUGCUCACCCUAUGAUAUAUAACAUGUAGAUAUCUCUUAUAAAACAUUAGAGAUCCUUUUAUUGUUUGUACCUUUACACACACACACACACACAUAUAUAUAUAUAUAUAUAUAUAUAUAUAUAUAUAUAUAAUGGAAGAAAGAAGAUCAAUAGAUUGAAUUAUUUCAUGAUACAUAAGUAAUCCUAAUUUUUUAACGUUCUAGAUUUCUUGCACCUCCUAUGGUCCCUUUAAACGUAGACACCCCAUUUUCAAUCCGAAGAUUGUUCAACCUAAAAAUACAUCAUUGCACAUGGAUCUUACCUUUUUCAACAUAUAAACAUGCUUCCAUAUUACCCUUAAAAUUGAAAAUACAUAGUGCAUUUCUUGGACUAAUAUUUUUAAGAUCCACACUCGAGAAUAUGAAGUACGCAAGCAUGUAACCCAUCUACAAGAUCCUUUGAUCGGUAAAUCCUUAUGGAUAAGGUUAGAGAUUGCUGUCUUACAACAAAAAUAUAGAACAAUACUUAAUGUUCUCUUACAUACCAUCCUUGGAGCCAAUAUUACCACCUAAGUUACAUAUAAUUAUGUAAUAUAAAUCAUCCUAAAUUACAAAAUUUAAGGGUUAUUCAACUUCUAUAUCCAUGUUUUCAUACCUAACAUGCCAAUUUUCCUAACACUAUAUUUCUAACACUUUAAGAUGCUCUCCGAUCAACUGGAAAAUGUUAGCUCCUCAGUCUCUAACGAAUGGUUACUUCCUUAACUCAUAGGUAGCCAAUCAAAUGAAUUUGAUGAGGUCGCAAACAAUAUUAAAAAAAUCCAAUCCUUUAAUACCAUUCCACCACACACGCACUAUGCUUACAUGUAACGCCCAUAGAUUCAUUCUAGUCAAUUUAGAGACAAUGAGCAUUAAAAAAAGACUUUUUUUUAUAGAAUAUUGUUUAGAAGGAAUAAUCUUAACCAAGUUACAGUAUAUGUCACAAGAGUUCCACACAUAUAAAGAACGCCGAAAUCUAAGUUAUAACGAAGAAGAUAUGACAUGUCAAAGUUUUACGGUUAAACCGGUACGACACUGCGUAACGUAAAAAGUGAAUUUUUGAUAAAUUACUUUUCAGCCUUAGACAUCUGAUGUAUGGAAUUAAUGAUUUUUAAAACGAAAAAUUUUAUCACUAUUUUUGGGUUGUUACAAGUUGGUAUCAGAGCCUUGGUUUGAGGGAUUCAGACACUUUCGGGAGUGUUAGAAUUCAAACUGAGGAAAUGAGAACAUUUUCAAAAGAAAAAUGAAUUUAUAAAAGAUUUUUUACAAUACUGAAAGGGGGUGUGAUGCAUGCAAUCAACCGAGCUCAAGUAAGUGGUUCCUAAAAUACCCAUACCCAUGUGUUAUGAUUAUUAUGCCUGAUAUGUGAUCUGCAUGCUAGAAUAGGGCUAAGGAUACCUUCAAGAAUCGUAUGUUAGAUUUUCCUAAUUUGUGUAAUGCCUUAUAGCCUUGGAGAAUGGGAUGCCAUAUGUUAGAUGGGAUGGAUAUCGGCUCAGUUAAUUGCUAAUUGUAUGCUUUAAAAGUUGUAUACGAUUAUGUUCAUAUAGCCCUAGAAUGAUUAGUUUAACCUUAUUUCCUAUUCUUUGUUUGGUUAUGGAAUUAGGGUAGGAUCAUUAUUCGAUAAUCUAUGUGAUCUCAUUUUUUUUAUACAACUUGCAUAAAUAAGGAAACCAAAAGUGUUGGUUAAGAUUCUCGGUAUUACAGGGCGGUCGAGUUGAGAAUUCCUAAGNCGGUCGGGUUAAGAAUUCCUAGGAGAGUCUAGGAUAUGUCAUAGUAGGAUAUGUAUGUGGUUUAGCAUAGGGAUGGUGUGUAUGGUUUUAGCAGGGUGACUUAGAGGAUUUGGGACAGUUCUUGAGGAAAGUACGAAUAGGUAUGGAAGGUACUAUUGGGACCAUACUACUAAAAGCACAGGAUCUGUACUCGAGUCAAGGACGAUUUUGGAGAUUCUAAGAGGCCUGUAGAAUGGAAGUUCCCUUCAGUUUAUGCUGAUUGUUUAUAUGUUUGUAUUUCAGUUAAGUAUGGUGACCACUCGAGGAUGAGCUUUUGGAUCUAUUUUUGGCUUUGGUGCCGAACCGCUGGAUAAGCAAUUACGUAAGUUUAUCACUUCAGAGAUUACCAGAGGUAUCAUGGAGUCCACCCCUAUGAUUUUCGCUACCAUCAAGGAGGGGAUUAUAGAGCUUAUGGAUGAGCAAAUCGCGGACCUUCAGGCAGAGAUCACUGUAGGAAAGUUAUGAGGACAAACUCCCUCGUUUUGGGAGUUCAAGGCAUGUGGAGCUCUGAUGUUCUUUGGGGAUAAGGACUGUAACGUCGUGAUUUUUACCAUAUUUUUUUUGCUUUUUAAAACAUUUAUUUAACAGAAUACCUUAACGAAAGACUUAGUUUUAAUUCCAAAACAUUUUCAAAACCACAACAUUACUCCGAAAACUCAAACGAAAUUCCAAACAAUUUAAAAUUUAAACAAAAGUAUUUUUAAAGUAAAGAAUCAAAACGUGUCCAAGAGUGGUAUCGUUAAUAUAAAUCUACUACCCAUAAGAACCCGUCUCACCAAGGCCAAUCUUCUAAACUACCUGCACCAAUCAAGGCACAAAAGAGAAAAGAUACAAGUGUCAGCCCUUGCUGAGUGAGUUCAUAAAGUUGCACAUAAAACAUACAAACCCCAAAUGGGUCAAUCAUUCAUUUUAUGAUGAAGCAUAAAAAUGAUAGACAAAUACCACUUAGAAAACAACCGCAUAUCAUAAUUAUUCAACCGUAAAGAUGCAUAUAUGUUUAAUCACAAUUCUACCACAUAACAUAUAUGAUCAACCAAAUACCAAAUAAGCAACCGCAUAACAUAUAAAUAAUCACAUUUCAUAUUUAAGCAACCUUUAAUUGUUCAACCUUUUAUUAAUAACCAACAUUUGUUAUAUAUUCAACCUUUUAAUAUGCAACCAACCUUUUGUUACAUGUUCAACCUUUUAUUAAUAACCAACCUUUGUUAUAUAUUCAACCUUUUAAUAUGCAACCAACCGUUUGUUACAUGUUCAAACUUUUAUUAUAUCUAUCCAACCGAUUGAUAGAAACGUGUCUCUUAGUGCACCCUAACCUAAGAGAAACACCUCGUUCACUACUUGUGUGCACGACCAGCCGAAUGCUCUAAGUGGCUCAUGACUUCCACUCGAAACACCAACCUCGUGACUCCACUUUCGCUACUCCGACUUUGCAAAGUACAAUACCCCGUGGUGUCGUUCAGGAUUGGUACAAACAGUGCCAAUUCCAACGAUACACCUCCCGAUUCCCACGUGAUGUUUGCGCUGGCCGCGAACGAGGGACCAACAUCACUCCAGCCCACGAACACUGAAGUGCCCGCAAACCAUGUGUCACAUGGUCAUCUAGAAAGACCAGCAACUAAUCACCGUUGUGGCUAUAGCUCUUCCUAUAGGUACUCUUUCAACCUAGUAGGCACCCUCAAUGACCCGGAUAAGGUUUUAGGCAAAGAUCAUCAAACUACCCAAACCCACUACGCAUAACCUCGAAAUGUCAUUUAUACAUUAAGUAAAGCAUGUAAUGCAUACCAUAUAUAAUGUGUAUUAAAUAUGCAAUGUAUUCAUUACCCAACACAUCAAAACAUAACCAUACAUCAUAUUUCAAGUAACUUAAGCUAGCAUGUCGUAUACAUCAAGUAUAUCAAAGUGUAAGCAACAUAGCAAUUAGGUCAUAUCAUGGCAUUAGCACAAAGAAUAUAUUAGCAUCACAAAUAUCAUAUCAUCAUCAAGCACAAGUAAUGACAUGGUCAUCCUAAAGUGAAUCAAAUCACCAUCUACGGAUUGCACGUUUCAAUAAUGCAACCUUAGUCAGUUAAAACUAUGAACUCACCUUUAGCCUUGAUGAAAUCUUCCUUCUAUUCCAAGUCUUGAACUUACUUGAAGUUCUCAAGGCUCCACCUAAACACCACAUAUAACAUUCAAUUAACAAAUAAAGUAUAUGUUUUAAAAAUACAACUUUAUUCUAACUUUUAUAUUAAUUUUUAUAUUUUACCUGCCCGACCCCCGUUCAGUGUUUUAGGCAUAAAACAGAAUCCAUAACUCCUAUCGAGCUGAAUGUGGAAUUCCUGAAAACUAGACUCGAUUUCCUACAUUUUAUCCAGAGAGGGGCAUCGCCCAAUUCUGCUUAGAUUAGCAGCUACAGCCCUUGCAAGAUGGGGAAAAGUUUAUGUGCAGAUUUUCAAUAAUUGCCAAGAAUCACCAUAUGAUUUAUGAUUUGGACAAAGGAUUAAAGACACAUAAAUUAACACACCAAAAGCUUGAAUGAAGUUAUUAAGACAUAAAUUAAGUGGUUUAUGAAAAGACUAAGAAUUGACUAAAAGAUGACUGAAAGUAAGAUGCCCGUAAACACCAAACACCAAAAAUCUUCAUACACCAAUAAAGACUUAGUUCACAUUCAAGAUACAUAUAGGGAUGAACUUUGAGUGAAGUUUUAGACACACAUUAUGGGUUUUUCAAGUUUGUUAUUU
This 32506-nucleotide long non-coding RNA is filed under the name Lactuca sativa (garden lettuce). RNAcentral describes it as "long non-coding RNA (LSAT_LNC009723)". Lineage: Eukaryota; Viridiplantae; Streptophyta; Magnoliopsida; Asterales; Asteraceae. The record is from RNAcentral.